UGCAAUGUUUGUUCAUUUUCUGCUUGUGCUCUUUUUAUAAGACAGUAUUUCCCACUGCUGCAGGCAAACCAGACAGCUUGCACAGCCAGUUAAUCAUCAUGAAGGAUGCAACCUACGGUGAUUAGCUGCCUCUGGCUCUGGAUCUGACAGACACAUGCGAGCACAAUGGAACAGAGGAAGGAUCAGUGUCACUGCUCUGGACAAGUCGAGUACACUCCCUUAAUCCAGACUGCAUAGACCUCCUCUAGUCUACGUCACAGGGUACCUGCAACUCCAGCAUGGUGAGAUUAUCAACCUUCUGGCAUAUUUACAGGAAAAGUGAAUUGCUGGAAGCUGGGACACAAGUUAAUGUCAUCUUCUUGAGGGAAUUCAGCUAUUUGUGUUCUAUUUCCUGCCAUCAAUCCUAAACACCACGGCUACUAGAUUAAUGAACACCAUGGCAUCCCAGGAAAAUUUACUGCACCUUCUGCCUAAUUUCCAGUCUCCUCAGCUGGAAAGCUGCUACAGGCUUUGUCUCUGCUGGGCCAGCCAGCUGAUGCACAAUGCUCCCGUGGCCAGGAGCUGCAAAAGCUCCAUGAGAAGUUCCAUGGGCAGGACAUGGAGUUCCAUGGACAUCCAGGACAUCCCAGGACUGUGGGUGAUGCUGUGUCUAGGGCUGCUGUGAAUGCCAUGCUCAGAGUUCACAGUCCAGACCACCUCCAACUGUUCCUGCAGCCCUGCCGAAAACUGAACUGUUUUCCAGUGUUAACAUGCUCAUUACCCCCUGCUGAAAGUUUCUGCAAAUGCAGAGAACUCAAGACUUAGUGGGUCAGACAGAGGGAAGGAAUAUGAUUUAGUAACCUACUAGUUUGGGCUGACAAUUCAAAGCAGUAGGUCUGGCAUGCCAGUAGCCUCUCCAGGAACAGCUGAUGCUUUCAUCUAAUGAGUUUUUCAUGUAAAAUGCAUGAACAAUAGAGACUGGAAUCCACAUUUCAAUUAAUAUUUUAAGUGUUUUUUAUAAAGUAUUCAUAGUAGAAAGGCCUGAAGCUCAUGUGUGCUCCUGCUCCUGGUGAGUGCCCUAACCACACAGCAAGUGAGUUUUGCUUAUACCCAUCCUCCUUCUGGUCCACUGAGUACUUAAUUAGUUCAUACAGAGUGAAACAUCUUCAGCAGAGAAGAAAUUGAAAGAAGAGAUCUAAGAACACCCUGGAGAAGAAUAACAAAGACUCAAAUCUCUCUGUGUAGAGGAGACAUUUGAACCUGAGCUCCCUAUUUACAAAUGCACCAUUUUAACCUCAUUCAGAUAGGAAUGGGAAGCAGUGGGAAGAAUUAUGGAGGGCCACAAUGGAAUUAUGAGGCACCACCAUGCUCACUCAGGAGAACUGCUUCUUCUUCUUCUCUAAGCAGGUUCAAGUGGCAAGCUAAGGCAACUGUC
Non-coding RNA from Coturnix japonica (Japanese quail), 1414 nucleotides. Lineage: Eukaryota; Metazoa; Chordata; Aves; Galliformes; Phasianidae. The record is from RefSeq and is a predicted model, not a curated record.